GAGGAAUAUUGGUCAAUGGCCGAAAGGCUGAACCAGCCAUCCCGCGUGCAGGAUGACGGCCCUAUGGGUUGUAAACUGCUUUUGUACCUGAAGAAACCUGGUUACGAGUAACCAGUUGCCGGUAAGGUAUGAAUAAGCAUCGGCUAACUCCGUGCCAGCAGCCGCGGUAAUACGGAGGAUGCAAGCGUUAUCCGGAUUCAUUGGGUUUAAAGGGUGCGCAGGUGGGAAAAUAAGUCAGUGGUGAAAUACUGCCGCUUAACGGUAGAAUUGCCAUUGAUACUGUUUUUCUUGAGUAUGGUUGAGGUAGGUGGAAUGUGUUGUGUAGCGGUGAAAUGCACAGAUAUGACACAGAACGCCGAUUGCGAAGGCAGCUUACUAAGCCAUUACUGACGCUGAGGCACGAAAGCGUGGGGAUCAAAC
RNAcentral lists this ribosomal RNA (420 nucleotides) under uncultured bacterium. RNAcentral describes it as "bacterial SSU rRNA". It matches the Rfam family "Bacterial small subunit ribosomal RNA", at positions 356 to 773 of the family's 1533-position model. The record is from RNAcentral.